GAUGAACGCUGGCGGCGUGCCUAAUACAUGCAAGUCGAGCGAACAGAUGAGGAGCUUGCUCCUCUGACGUUAGCGGCGGACGGGUGAGUAACACGUGGAUAACCUACCUAUAAGACUGGGAUAACUUCGGGAAACCGGAGCUAAUACCGGAUAAUAUAUUGAACCGCAUGGUUCAAUAGUGAAAGACGGUUUUGCUGUCACUUAUAGAUGGAUCCGCGCCGCAUUAGCUAGUUGGUAAGGUAACGGCUUACCAAGGCAACGAUGCGUAGCCGACCUGAGAGGGUGAUCGGCCACACUGGAACUGAGACACGGUCCAGACUCCUACGGGAGGCAGCAGUAGGGAAUCUUCCGCAAAGGGCGAAAGCUUGACGGAGCAACGCCGCGUGAGUGAUGAAGGUCUUCGGAUCGUAAAACUCUGUUAUUAGGGAAGAACAAAUGUGUAAGUAACUAUGCACGUCUUAACGGUACCUAAUCAGAAAGCCACGGCUAACUACGUG
This 497-nucleotide ribosomal RNA is filed under the name uncultured bacterium. Its description in RNAcentral is "partial 16S ribosomal RNA". It matches the Rfam family "Bacterial small subunit ribosomal RNA", at positions 28 to 507 of the family's 1533-position model. The record is from RNAcentral.